CACACAAUGCCCAUGUGACCACACUAGGAAGUCCAAUCGCCUCUCCCCUCCAACCCCCAUCGAAAGACAAGAAGCCCAGCCGCUCGACGGAGGGGAGAGCUUGGUGGCUCACUGUUCCAACUUCAGGGUUCCAGUCCCCACUUUGAACCCCCCGGGGCCUCGGGGACAAGUGAGAACCACCACUGUCCCCUCUCUCGCCUCUCUCCCAGAGCCCCGAGAGCUACAGGCAGAGACAUGCUCGGGUCUGUCACCCUCCUUCUCGCCACCCUGCUCCAUGCUGCCCAGACGGCACUCAUUCUGGACCAGCCCACCUUUUCCAUCACCAAAAACACCGGCAAAUCCGCAACGAUCCCCUGCAAGUUUUCCGAAAAAAAGAUCACGUACGUCCACUGGUAUCGCCAACAGCCUGGGGAAGCUCCCCAGCGCCUGCUCUACUAUGACCUGGCCAACUCGCAAACUACGGUGGAUUCAAGAUUCGACUCAAAGAAUAUCUAUGCUUACAAGUACCAAGAUAGAAGCUGCAUGCUGGUGGUUGAGAAACUGGGUGUGAGUGAUGCUGGCAUCUAUUACUGUGCCAGCUGGGACACCACGGUGACACAGCUCCCUUCGCCUCCCAUACAAAAAAUCACUCCCUGUGGUCACCAGAAGCCAGGCCUCUGCCCUUCACAGACCCAAGCACUGAAUCUCACUCCCUGCUUCAGGCUCCUGGACAAAUUAAGGGGGCCAGGUAGUUUUCUGGAGGAAACGGGUGACAGCAAGUCCUAG
Molecule: non-coding RNA, 765 nt
Organism: Ornithorhynchus anatinus (platypus)
Lineage: Eukaryota; Metazoa; Chordata; Mammalia; Monotremata; Ornithorhynchidae
Source: the annotation of a RefSeq genome assembly